GUCUCAUUCCCUCCCUUGCCCCUUCAUGCAUCUGUUGCUUCCAUCCAGCCACUCCAUGUGUAUCAUUCCAUUUCACCAGCCCCUCCAUGUGCCUCAUUCCCUCACCCAAGCCCCUCUAUCAGUAUUAUUUUAUUCCCCCAUCCCCUCCAUGUGCCUCAUUCCCUCCACCCAGAUCCACCAUGCGUAUAAUUCCCUAUCACCCCCAGCCCCUCCAUUUGUCUCAUUCCAUCCCUCCCCUCAAUGUGUCUCAUUCUCUCUCUCCCCCAGUCCUUAAAUGUCUCAUUCCAUCGCUCCCCCAGCCCCUCCAUGUGUCACAUUCACUCCCUACCCCUCCAUGUGUCUCAUUCCAUCCCUACCCCCCCAGCCCCUUUAUGUGUCUGAUUCCCUCACUCCCAGCCUUUCUAUUGUCUCAUACACUCCCUCCCCUUCUUUACCUCACUU
Non-coding RNA from Pelobates cultripes (western spadefoot toad), 441 nucleotides. The record is from the annotation of a GenBank genome assembly. Lineage: Eukaryota; Metazoa; Chordata; Amphibia; Anura; Pelobatidae.